AGCAGUCGCCACGGUAACACGUAGGGCGCAAGCGUUGUCCGGAAUUAUUGGGCGUAAAGAGCUCGUAGGCGGUCUGUCGCGUCUGGUGUGAAAUCCCGAGGCUCAACCUCGGGCUUGCAUCGGGUACGGGCAGACUAGAGUGCGGUAGGGGAGACUGGAAUUCCUGGUGUAGCGGUGGAAUGCGCAGAUAUCAGGAGGAACACCGAUGGCGAAGGCAGGUCUCUGGGCCGCAACUGACGCUGAGGAGCGAAAGCAUGGGGAGCGAACAGGAUUAGAUACCCCGGUAGUCCCUGUCUCUUAUAU
Molecule: ribosomal RNA, 303 nt
Filed under: uncultured bacterium
Lineage: Bacteria
Description: partial 16S ribosomal RNA
Rfam family: Bacterial small subunit ribosomal RNA
Source: RNAcentral